GAAACAGCAUGCAGGUGUGAAGAAUCAGUUGUCAGAGAUAAGACCCAGGUGAAAGACUUAAAUAACAGCUGACAUCAUAUUAAGAUGGGAAGUGAGGGAAGAUUUUAGAUCUAAAUCUUUAGAUUUAGCAAAGGUGUUGCCUCUGGAGCUAAGAAUGGUGUCUAUUCUCCUUUGAGUUGAUUCUUACUUACAUAACCUGGUGCUGUGAGUGUGACUGCAUGAUCAGGCUGCAAGGCAAAGUGACUAAGUCCUCUUCUGCUCAUUUUGGAAUUGAGAGUUCAAGCCACUGUCUCUUCUUGAAAAGGAGAUACAGUUAUGUUCAUAACGUAAGUGUCACUUCCAACCUACUGGGUUGCUUCUCAGCUCUUGAACUGUACCUAGAGAUUCAUAGUUCUUCAAGAGAAGAAUCUCUGGAUGCACGUGUUUGCUAUGACAGUGUCUUCUAAACAAAGGCAAAGGGCCUCCCUAAAGCCUUGGUCUCCAUGUCCUGAGGAGCACUGGCUGAAAUGCAUUUGAACUUAUGGUGGGGCAUGUGUUUGUGCUCUCAGGAGGAAAUGAACUUUGCUUUGAAGUGAUGUUACUGGUGCCAAGUACAACAUCAACAGAGCAAAUGUAAAAAGUCUCACUGAUAUCUCUUUCUAGUCCUGGAUGAUCAUCUGAGAAGGGGAUUCCUCUCUGCAGUCAGGAACCAUAUGAGCUAACAAAUAUAAUGUUACGGAAAAACUUUGCUCACAGUCAUAGUUGGCUUGCUAUUAUGAAACCUGGUUAUACUAUUCAAUUUUCUUGGAGAAAGGUCUCAGUCUCACUGACUUUUUUUUUUGACUUUUCCUACCCUCUGUUCAGAAACUUUCAUUAUUGUAUGCAUUAAACAUCACAUGUUGCAAAAUAAGCAUGUAUAUUAAAUUAAAA
This 909-nucleotide long non-coding RNA is filed under the name Anser brachyrhynchus (Pink-footed goose). Its description in RNAcentral is "lncRNA (ENSABRG00000016631.1)". Lineage: Eukaryota; Metazoa; Chordata; Aves; Anseriformes; Anatidae. The record is from RNAcentral.